GCCUUCGUAGUGUAGCGGUCAGCACGCUUGGCGAGUAACCGAGAGGUCCGUGGUUCGAUUCCUGGCGAAGGCG
Molecule: transfer RNA, 73 nt
Filed under: Stegodyphus mimosarum
Lineage: Eukaryota; Metazoa; Arthropoda; Arachnida; Araneae; Eresidae
Rfam family: tRNA
About the family: Transfer RNA (tRNA) molecules are approximately 80 nucleotides in length. Their secondary structure includes four short double-helical elements and three loops (D, anti-codon, and T loops).
Source: Rfam by way of RNAcentral